Molecule: non-coding RNA, 3644 nt
Organism: Camellia sinensis
Lineage: Eukaryota; Viridiplantae; Streptophyta; Magnoliopsida; Ericales; Theaceae
Source: RefSeq, a predicted model, not a curated record
UGUCCUUUAAAUAAACUUUGAAUUGACUCCAAUUUGUGUCAGCUGCUGUGAUUUGGUACCUGCACACAAUCUUCCCAAAACUUUUGAAGGUCCUAAAUGCUUGUGUGCGGCGGAAGCAAUGGGAGGGUGCAUUUUGGGUAUUGCAACAGUUAAAGGAACAAGGCCAACGGCCUUCUAGUGUAACAUAUGGACUUGUCAUGGAGGUAAUAUCUGCUUCUUGAUGCUCUGUCAUUGUCCUUUCUUGCAAUUGCGUGUUUGUUUUUUACAGAAUCUAUCACUUGGAUAACACAUUGAUGAAUGCUAGCUCAACAUCUAGUUUCCUUCUUUUUUGAUGACUGUUGGUCUUAUUGUUUGAAAAGCAUGUGGGUUUUAAAGUGAAUUUUCUAACUAGGGAUACAAGCCUCCUUCCUGCCUUAACAUAUUAAUAUCUCCUUUAGGCUUUUUACUUUCCGAAACCCUAACAACCUACAGAUGUGUGUGAACACUUCUUUUUUUAACAUUAAACAUAUAAGAAUGUAUGAUAAAUUUGUUAGAAUAAGUGUUAGAAUAGGAAAUAAUAUUACAUAUAUUUUAUUCUUAUUUUAUUUUAUUUUCCUUUGAUUGAUAUAAUGGGCUGACCCAUAAUUUAUGCCUGAUGGCACUCCAGUAAUUACUCAUUAUUAUCAAUAUAAAAGGGAAUGAGGUCUCACUCAUUCCCUAUCUCUCUCUCUUCUCUAAACUUACAUGGUAUCAGAGCCAUGCCCUAGACAUCUUUCAUUCUCUGCCCCCAUCACCACCAGUUGCCUCCUCUCUCCUUCCUACCAUACGACACACCCUUGUAACCGCCCUCCAACCACCUAACAACCUCUUCCUCUUCCCCUCUUCCUCUACCCCCGACAGCCUCCUCUAGCCCUACCCAAGCCUCCCCCGACACCCCCAGCCUUUCCCUUCCCUCAGCAGGCCCCUCUAGCCACUGUCGAGGGCCCCCAGGUAGCCAACCAACCUCCUUACUGGUUUGGUCGAGUUCGGCAGCCCUUCUAGGGUAGCUUGAGUUCAUUUCUUCCCUUCUGGGAUCUUCUGGUGAUGUAAAACAGCAAAAAAACGAAAAAAAAAAACAAAAAAGACAAAAGAAAAAGAAAAGAGGUUUAUGCUGAGUUCUUAAUUCUUUAUGCUUCCAUAGUGACCAUUGUGCUUGUUCUUCCACUAUCAUCUUUCGGAUUUGUGAUUGGCAUUGUGUUUGAGAAGUAAUUAGUAGAGUCUCCAUGAUAGAUUUGACUAGUGAAUCUACUACCUCACAGCUAUUCAGGGCGAGAGUUCUGUUAUUCCUUCUACUAUUACUGAUAACCUCAACUCUAGCCUUAAAAUCACCAUCUCUUUAUUCAAUAGUCAAAAUUGCCUAGCGUGGUCACAGAGUCUGACUAUUUUCGUGAAGAGCAAAGGGAAGAUGGGAUAUGUUGAUGGGAGGAUGCAUGCACCCAAUACCACAGACCCUCGUUAUGAUCAGUGGGAGAUCACCAAUUCUCUGAUUAUGGGCUGGUUGAUACAUUCUAUGAUACCAGAGAUUGGAGAGGGCUAUUUGUCUAUGGAUACUGCCCAGGAUAUUUGGGAGGCCAUAGCUACUACUUACUCCAGGAAGGGGAACUUCUCCUAGGCUUUGGAGUUAUGUUGCUCCAUUGAAAGGUCGGUAUAAGGUGAGAUGACUAUCCUCCAGUAUUUUACCUUCCUUAGCAAUAGGUUGAAGCUACUCGAUCACCUUAAGGAUUACAAACCUGUCUAUACCACUGAUUCUGCUGGUUACCGAAAGUUUAUGAAGCAAGAGUGGGUCUUCAAGUUCUUGGAAGGCUUGAAUGUGGAGUAUGAUCUAGUUCGGAGCAAAGUACUUGGUAUGGCCGUGCUUCCUUCUCUCUAGGAAGCCUUUGCUUUUGUGCAGAAUGAGGAGAGUUGCUGCUCUGCUAUGCUUCCUUCUGCCACUACUGAUCGCUCUGUCUUGGUUUCUGCACCACCUCGAGAUAAAGAGCAUGCAACUCGUGGUUCUCGUCUUUCCUUUGAGAAGGAUAUUUUUUUCUGUGACUACCGUCGUAGACCUUGACACACACGAGAGACUUGUUGGAAGCUGUAUGGGACUCCUUCUGGUGGCCAAAGAGACUGUCUUAGUACUUGCGGGGGUAGGUCUGGUCAGUCUAGAGGCCGAAGGGCCAAUGCUCGGGCAUAUCUUUCUAAUACGGUUGAGCCACCACCUUCAUCUCGAGUAGUCUCACCGGAUGCUGAUGUUUUGGGCUUAUCUGCCUCAGAGUUUGAGAUCGUUCUUCGCCACUUGCUAGACCGUCGAGCCUUUACUUCUGCCACAAGUGCAUCCUCUUCUUCCUUUGCCAAUUCAGAUUAUAACCCCUUCUCAGGUCAGGAAAAAGUGUGUAUUGCUUAUGGUACUAUUUCAUCUGUGUCAGGAAAAGGACCUUAUUGCGAGGAAGAAGAUUGACAGUGGUAGUGAGGAACAUGGUCUCCACAUUCUAGAUCAGACAAACAAGCUGGCUCAUUCAUCUAUUUAGUUACCAUCCACCAAGGAAGACCUUUGGUUAUGGCACCGUUGCUUAGAACAUCUCUCCUCUUUACUAGUUAAGCAUUUAUUUCCUUCGGGUUUUGAGAAAAAUAAUGUGUCUGCUUUUCAAUGUGAGUCAUGUCAACUUGAAAAACAACACAGAGUUUCUUUUGCUCAUUCUAUUAAUAAAAGUUCAAUUCCAUUUUCUUUGAUUUAUUUUGAUGUAUGGGGUCCCUCAUGUUUUGUGUCUUUAAAAGGUCAAAAAUGGUUUGUUACUUUCAUAGAUGACUGUUCUAAGGCCACUUGGGUAUAUAUCUGAUGAAAGAUAAAAGUGAAGUGUUUUCUGUGUUUCAAAACUUUCAUAAAAUGGUUUGCACUCAGUUUGGGACGGUUGUAAAAAUUCUGCGUUCUGAUAAUUGGGAGGGGGGGGAAUAUAUUGACUUUGGUCUUGCCAGUUAUUUUGCCACUCAUGACAUUAUUCACCAAACUUCUUGCACUAAUCCCCUCAACAAAAUGGUGUUGCAGAAUGGAAAAAUCGCCAUCUCCUUGAUGCAACCCGUUCUCUAUCCUUUGAAAUGCGUGUUCCUCGAUCCUAUUGGGGGAAGCGGUUCUCACUGCCGCUUAUUUGAUUAAUCGUCUUCCUCCCCAAGUCCUUUACAAACAAACACCUCUUCAAGUUUUGUUCGGGUCCACAUAUUCUAAGUUCUUCAUCCCCCUAAGACCUUUGGAUGUGUUUGUUUUGUCCAUAAUCAUUUACCCACUCGUGGUAAAUUAGAUCCUCGGUUUCUUAAGUGUGUUUUCCUGGAUUACUCUGCCACCCAAAAGUGCUAUAAGUAUUAUCAUCCUCCAUCUCGCAAAUAGUUUGUCUCCAAGGAUGUUAUGUUCUUUGAGUCUCAGUCGUACUUUCAGACCUCCCUAAUGUCUCAGUCCUCUCCUGUGUCACAGUCAUUCCUUUAGGGGGAGCCUUGGUAUGAAGAGAUUCAUGUUCCACUACCUCCAAUGGUUGAACAGAUAAAGGAUGUUGAGCCAACAAUUGUUGUGAAAAAGGAAGAAGGCAAAGUUUAUGUCAGGGACAAAGAUAGAUAGAAAGUAACCUGGAUGCAAGACCCUACUUCUGAUCCUCUACUGC